This 1265-nucleotide long non-coding RNA is filed under the name Rhinopithecus bieti (black snub-nosed monkey). RNAcentral describes it as "lncRNA (ENSRBIG00000045109.1)". Lineage: Eukaryota; Metazoa; Chordata; Mammalia; Primates; Cercopithecidae. The record is from RNAcentral.
UAAUAAGUGAGACCAACGUUGUAAGGUGUUAACUCGGAGCCAUCAUCUAUCCUUGUGGAGAACAACACAGAGGACUUGGAUUAGGACCUGAUAGUCUACCUUGGCGGCACGUGAGAAUCACCUGGGGAGCUUGUGAAACAUGAGGCUGCCAGGCUGGACCUCACUCCAGACCAAUCGAAUCAGAAUCUUUGGGGUGGGGCCUGGGUGUUGGUAAUUAUCCUUUGAAACACUCCCCAGGUGAUUCUAAUGGAAUCUAGGGGCGAGAAUCACUGGGGUAAGGCAUUUGUAGAUGGGGAGAUUGGUGGCAUCUGCCAGAAGACUUGAUGUAUACUUGGCCAGAGAUAAACCACAAGUCUGGCCUGAAUGUGGAAAUGCGUCAGUCAUCUUUUCAGAUUUCCAAGGUCAUGUGAGCUUGGACUGAAGAUAGCCCAGCACAGGGCCAGCGAUGGCAGCUGGAAGGGUGGCUGCCUGGGAAGGAGGCCCAAGACAUUUCCAUGGGCCUUUGGAAAGCUUUCAAACUGGAGGUCUCCUGCCUCUCGAUGGAGAAGCCCUGGUGGCAGCAAGCCUUUUCAGCCAGGCCAACACCCAUCCCUUGCCUCAACCAGAGGACCACUGAGGCUGACCUGGCGAGGUGGACCCUUUGGGAAGACUGCUGUUGGUGAGGUCCACAUUAGGGUAGAUUUAGGGGCAUGCUCCUUCUACUUUUUUCGUUAUCUCUUUUGCCUUCUCUCCUGCCUAUGACUUUGUCCAUCAAUGGCAGCCAAGAGAAGCCAGCGGCUCCCUUAGACCCAGUCCACUCAGCUGGUGCCACUGAAGACAUUUCUGAUCUCAGUGAAAACAUCAUGCAAGAAGAGCUGACCACAAACCAACACUUGUGGAAAUAAAGCUGAUUAUGUAGACACUUUGAUUAAAACUGGGAAUACAAAAUGCUUGCCAUGUAUUCUUUACAAAACCAGCAUCCUAAUGUCUUUUCAGAGUAGCCAAUGUGGAAUGAGCUGCUGAACUUUUGUCCUUGAUAAAGCUGUAGUGAGUGCACAGACUGCUGGAAUUUUCAUGUUAGAUGGCAUCAGAGGUGUGUUCAGCUCCACUGCUAUUGCCUCUCCACAGAAUGCCUUUUUGCUGUCUGCCUGGUGGCUGCAUCCCUCCCAUCUCAGCUGCAAAUCACCUCCUGUGAUUCCUUGACUUCUCUGAGACUGAAUGCUCUUUCUUUUGUGCUCCCAGUGACUUUAAUAGUGUUCACAUAUCCAUUAAAGCAUUGUCCACCU